UGGGGAAUAUUGCACAAUGGAGGGAACUCUGAUGCAGCGACGCCGCGUGAGUGAUGAAGGCAUUCGCUUCGUAAAACUCUGCUCUAUGGGAAGAAAAGGACUGUACCAUAGGAGAAAGCCCCGGCUAAAUACGUGCCAGCAGCCGCGGUAAUACGUAUGGAGCGAGCGUUGUCCGGAAUUAUUGGGCGUAAAGGGUGCGCAGGCGGCUUUACAAGUUGGAUGUGAAAUAUUGUGGCUCAACCACAAACGUGCAUCCAAAACUGCAAAGCUUGGGUUAAGGAGAGGUAAGUGGAAUUCCUGGUGUAGCGGUGGAAUGCGUAGAUAUCAGGAGAAAUGCCGGUGGCAAAGGCGACUUACUGGACUUAAACUGACGCUCAGGCACGAAAGGGUGGGGAGCAAACAGG
Molecule: ribosomal RNA, 404 nt
Filed under: Fusobacteriota bacterium
Lineage: Bacteria; Fusobacteriati; Fusobacteriota
Description: Fusobacteria bacterium partial 16S ribosomal RNA
Rfam family: Bacterial small subunit ribosomal RNA
Source: RNAcentral